This 1372-nucleotide ribosomal RNA is filed under the name uncultured bacterium. RNAcentral describes it as "bacterial SSU rRNA". It matches the Rfam family "Bacterial small subunit ribosomal RNA", at positions 28 to 1381 of the family's 1533-position model. The record is from RNAcentral.
GAUGGACGCUGGCGGCGUGCCUAAUACAUGCAAGUCGAGCGAACGGACGAGAAGCUUGCUUCUCUGAUGUUAGCGGCGGACGGGUGAGUAACACGUGGAUAACCUACCUAUAAGACUGGGAUAACUUCGGGAAACCGGAGCUAAUACCGGAUAAUAUUUUGAACCGCAUGGUUCAAAAGUGAAAGACGGUCUUGCUGUCACUUAUAGAUGGAUCCGCGCUGCAUUAGCUAGUUGGUAAGGUAACGGCCUACCAAGGCAACGAUGCAUAGCCGACCUGAGAGGGUGAUCGGCCACACUGGAACUGAGACACGGUCCAGACUCCUACGGGAGGCAGCAGUAGGGAAUCUUCCGCAAUGGGCGAAAGCCUGACGGAGCAACGCCGCGUGAGUGAUGAAGGUCUUCGGAUCGUAAAACUCUGUCAUUAGGGAAGAACAUAUGUGUAAGUAACUGUGCACAUCUUGACGGUACCUAAUCAGAAAGCCACGGCUAACUACGUGCCAGCAGCCGCGGUAAUACGUAGGUGGCAAGCGUUAUCCGGAAUUAUUGGGCGUAAAGCGCGCGUAGGCGGUUUUUUAAGUCUGAUGUGAAAGCCCACGGCUCAACCGUGGAGGGUCAUUGGAAACUGGAAAACUUGAGUGCAGAAGAGGAAAGUGGAAUUCCAUGUGUAGCGGUGAAAUGCGCAGAGAUAUGGAGGAACACCAGUGGCGAAGGCGACUUUCUGGUCUGUAACUGACGCUGAUGUGCGAAAGCGUGGGGAUCAAACAGGAUUAGAUACCCUGGUAGUCCACGCCGUAAACGAUGAGUGCUAAGUGUUAGGGGGUUUCCGCCCCUUAGUGCUGCAGCUAACGCAUUAAGCACUCCGCCUGGGGAGUACGACCGCAAGGUUGAAACUCAAAGGAAUUGACGGGGACCCGCACAAGCGGUGGAGCAUGUGGUUUAAUUCGAAGCAACGCGAAGAACCUUACCAAAUCUUGACAUCCUUUGACAACUCUAGAGAUAGAGCUUUCCCCUUCGGGGGACAAAGUGACAGGUGGUGCAUGGUUGUCGUCAGCUCGUGUCGUGAGAUGUUGGGUUAAGUCCCGCAACGAGCGCAACCCUUAAGCUUAGUUGCCAUCAUUAAGUUGGGCACUCUAAGUUGACUGCCGGUGACAAACCGGAGGAAGGUGGGGAUGACGUCAAAUCAUCAUGCCCCUUAUGAUUUGGGCUACACACGUGCUACAAUGGACAAUACAAAGGGCAGCGAAACCGCGAGGUCAAGCAAAUCCCAUAAAGUUGUUCUCAGUUCGGAUUGUAGUCUGCAACUCGACUACAUGAAGCUGGAAUCGCUAGUAAUCGUAGAUCAGCAUGCUACGGUGAAUACGUUCCCGGGUCU